AUGUGUGUUUUUUCUUUGGGGACAUUGGAGGGAUAAAAGUUGCGACAAUCAAGCUAUUUUAGAACCAGGUUUUCAUCGCAGCACUUUAAACGUUUUCCUCUUGCCUCGGAAUAAUUUUCACUUUCUGACUAGGAUUUCCUGCAAUAUCUUAGUCAUAUUGCUGUUGAAUGACCAUAGCUUUAUUCUGGAGCUUGAGAAUAGUCAUUUGUCAUCGCCUGUUGUUUAUACUGGAAAAUCAAACACAUUAUUAUACAUGAAUUUGUAUAUACAACAACCCAUCAUAGUUUCCUUAUAACUUAACUUAAACUUAAGCCCCAUCUACACUAACAAUUUUUAGUCGGCAAUUUUUAUGUGGCAACUAUAGUUGCUCAAAAGCUAGCAGGUUUGCUUUUUCUCAGCAAUUUAAAAUUGUCACUCAUGAAAAAUUGCAAGUGUAGAUGCCAACAAACAAGUUGUUAACUGAAAAUUGUUAUUAUAGAUGGGCUUUAUACCAUUUUCUAACCCUAGCAUUCCACCGAAUUUUAUUCAGUUUUAUGCUAUCAAAACAUAAGAAAUAAGUCCCUUUUGAUUUUAUUAUUCAACCAGAACCAUCAAAAUUACGGAGCAUUUGGUAGAGAUAUUUAUACUUAUUAUAGUUUGAUUUCAAACAUUUUAUACACCUAUUUCGAAAAAAACGUUGUCAAUGCAAACAGCAAUGGCGAUGGACAAAUGGCAGUUCUACGACCGAAAGGGUCCAUACAGUCAGGGAGCAUAUGUCGAAAAAAUAGGUCCCAUGGGAAAUCACUGAAGAAAGCAAGCAACUAUGCUAGUCGUGUUCAGGGGACUUCAGAUAAUAAGAAAAGUGAUAUUGCCAAGUUUGUAACGUGCUCUGGUUCAAAUUACGGCGGUCUUUGUAAAAUGACAUCAAAAGCUCAGCAUGGAAAGGAGACUGACAUGAAAAUCAUUAAUAUCUUUGCUAUUUUACAACGAAAUUUCACGAAACUUGCAGCGGAUAAUCAUUCAGAGGACAUAUUCUUGCUUUUAUUCUGUCACGUGACCCUUGACAUGAAAACGAGGCAUAUUUAUAAAAUCCUUAAAUAUCUAUAUUAUUUGUUAACGAAAUCUCACGAAACUUGCAGCAAAUGACUAUCAUAUAUUCAGAAGGUAAUAGCAUUAUUUUGUCGCAAGGCUAUUUAAUUUGCUAGUUCUUAAAGCAAUUUGAAAUAAUUCCUGCCAUCUUGUAUCCACCAUUUUCGAUAUUUAUUGAAAUGAUUAUGCAUGAAAAACCUUUCGAAAAAUUAUGUAAUGCAUAGAAAAUAUUAGUUUGCAGCAUUCAAAAGUAAAUCUAGCAGCUUUUUUGCAAUGCUAAUAACGGACUUCCGUUGUAUUUCUCUGGGAGACUAAGUAUUAAUGGUAUGCAGUACUUCUCGGCGGUAUUUUAAAAGGAAAUAGUGAUCCGCCAUGUUUUCUCUAUACGUUCUGUAAGUACAGCCUAGGUGGCCUUUCCGGCCAUGUCAGACGACAAACCAGAUUUUCUAUUCCGUACAUUGUGUCACGAGAAAACAAAAGAGCCCUUGGUACAUAAUCCGUCGUCCCAUCAAAGGUUGCUUCAAUUCAUAGAAGAGAGAAGAAAAUAUGGAGAUCCUUUUUAUAAAGGUAAUUGGGAAAUACUCAAACCCUACUCCGUGGAAGAAUUGGCUGAAGAGAAUGCAACUUGGUAUGGAUCAUGCUAUCAGGAUGCCACUAACGCUGGAAAACUGAAAAAAGCCCAGAUGAAAUUUGAGGAUGGACCAAAUUCUAAGUGGAAAGGAUGAGAGCAAGAAAAUAACAAGGUUACAGGCUACCCCCUACGGUAAGGCUUUUUGCUUCUUCUGUGAUCAACCUGCCAAAUACAAAGAUUCACUACAUGCUGUAAGCACAAAGGCAGCAGGGUUGUCUAUCCGGUCUGCUGUAGAGAUUCUUGGAGAUGUGAAAUUGCAAACAAAGCUCGCUACAUCAAUCGACACUGGAGACGCUGUUGCCAUAGAUGUCAAAUAUCACAAUAGCUGUUACCUAGGUAAUGUCACAAAUGUCCUGCGAAGCUCCUAGUACUUACCAAGCGAUGAUAAUGCCGUGAUAGCUGGUAGAUUCGAGUUCUUGGAUAUAACUAAGAAGGCUUUGAGAAAGGAGAAACCUUUGAAUAUGGCAGAACUUGAGACUCUAUAUACAAAUGUUCUUUGCGAAAAUGAUGCAGCAAAUACAUCAUGCACCAGAAAGACCCUUAAGCAACUACAAGUCAUAUUCCGGAUGUCGAGUUUCACAGGCGCCGAAACAAGUUAAUGAGCCAGAAAGACUGACUAUCAAAGAAACUUGUGAUAACUCCUUGAUAUCAAUCGAGGAAGACUGUUCCACAGACGCCGAAAUGAGAGUAAUUUAUGAUGCUGCUGCAGUACUCCUUCGCAAGCGCAUAAACAACAGCGAGAGCUGGAUCUUCACUGGACGGUUUGACGACCUUGGUGAAAAGCACCUUCCCAAGGAGCUCCAUUGCUUUUUCAGAUGGGUAAUACACGGUCCUAUGGAUUUCCCUUUGGAUUGGAUUCGACGGGAAGCAACGAUCGCUCUGUUGACGACCUUCCCCAGACAAUAAUGCUAGAAUGCCCUGCUCCUAAAACCCCGAAAAAGUCCUACCUACCCUUCCUCUAGCUUCAGUGUGGAGGAUCUCAUCUCCCAAUAACAGUUAAACUGAAGAAUUUCGCUUGGCUCCUUGGGUGCAGUCUUACGCACAUUCCAGUUGAAGAUGCUGAUGGAGGAAUGAGCCCAUCUCAAGUGCCUGUCUGGGCAGGAUUUAAUUCCCUUGUUAAUGAAUGCCAGCCCCUCACCAGGAUUGGAGCUCCACCGCCACUAGCAGCCCCUGCCCAUGAAUGGUCUACGCUGCUCACCAUUCUCAUGCAGGUAUAGGCUUAAUUAGCAAAAGUAAAACAAAUCAAAAUGUAAUCCAAAGUAACAUAAAUAAAUCUAUGAAAUGCAGGCUCAAGGAAUCACUGCUUAUGUCAUUGGCUUUCGGUCUCUAGCUCAGCUCGGAACAAGUCCUCUCCCAAGUGACGAGAGCCACAGUGGUGUAGCGAAGUUUGUUUGCCAGGUCUUGGUCCCGAAGACAGAAAUCUUCUCCCUUAAGGAAUUGCGAUGGUGGCUUUUCACCAAGAAACAAGCCAGAUCGCAACAGCUUCCCCCCACUGACGCAGCCUUGCAUCAAGCUUUGGGCCCAUUACCAGCUGCUUGUCUGGAACAAUGAUAACAGUUGCCAACCCAGUCUUACCUUCACCAGAGAAGUAUGGAUGGAAAUGGAACGAUGGCGACAAGGUGUGGGACCCGGUUAUGACCACAUCACCUCCUGCCCCACAAGUCAUUAUCCAGUUAGUCAAGUGUAAAUGCGCCAAGGACAGGUGCGUCACAAACAGAUGCCAGUGCAAGAAGUCGGGUUUAAAGUGCACAAAUCUCUGUGGUUGCUCAGCCAAUGGUGAAGACUGUCAAAACAAGUCUGGCAACAAUGAUGAGGAAGACGAGGAAGAAGAGAGUGAUGAUGAUGAUGACGACGAUGAUGAUAGCAGCGAUUAUGUAUCCGAUUCAGAUGAGUCUGAGGGCGAGUAAGACUGAUGAUAUUUAUCAGGAAUUCUUCUUGAGACAAGGACUACAUUUGAUGUAUAGUAGUAGAGGACUUUUGAUGUAAUCCACUGUGUAUUCGGUUCGAUAAUGCAUUUAACAUAGAAUUCAAACGUUUUCAUGUAAUUGAGUAAUCAGCCUCGUUUUCAUGUCAUGUUAAUCACGUGACAAAAAUGAAAUCAUUGCCUCUAAAUUCGUUAUAGUCAUUGGCUGCAAGUUUCGUGAGAUUUCGUUAACAAGUAAUAUAGAUAUUAAGGAUUUUAUAAAUAUGCCUUGUUUUCAUGUCAAGGGUCAUGUGACAGAAUUAAAACAAGGGUGUGUCCUCUGAAUGAUGUGAUGAUUAUCCGCUGCAAGUUUCGUGAUAUUUUGUUGUAAAAUAGCAAAGAUAUUAAUGAUUUUCAUGUCAGCCUCGUUUCCAUUUUGGGCUUUUGACGUUAUUUUACCAAAGGUGCCAUAAUUUGACCCAGAGCAAGUUACAAACUUGGCAACAUCACUUUUUUUAUUAUUUGAAGUCCCCUGGACACGACUAGCAUAGUUGCUUCCUUUCUUCAGUGAUUCCCCACGGGAUUACAUAUGCUCCCUGACUAAUAGAUCCAAAGAUAUUUACUCCAAAUUCAGAAAAA
Nematostella vectensis (starlet sea anemone) is the source of this 4241-nucleotide long non-coding RNA. RefSeq lists it as uncharacterized. The record is from RefSeq and is a predicted model, not a curated record. The transcript has 2 exons. Lineage: Eukaryota; Metazoa; Cnidaria; Anthozoa; Actiniaria; Edwardsiidae.